UACGAAGGGGGCUAGCGUUGUUCGGAAUUACUGGGCGUAAAGGGCGCGUAGGCGGCCUGCUAAGUCGAACGUGAAAUCCCUGGGCUCAACCCAGGAACUGCGUCCGAUACUGGUUGGCUUGAAUCCGGGAGAGGGAUGUGGAAUUCCAGGUGUAGCGGUGAAAUGCGUAGAGAUCGGGAGGAACACCAGUGGCGAAGGCGGCUACCUGGACCAGCACUGACACUGAGGCACGAAAGCGUGGGGAGCAAACAGG
This 253-nucleotide ribosomal RNA is filed under the name uncultured bacterium. Its description in RNAcentral is "partial 16S ribosomal RNA". It matches the Rfam family "Bacterial small subunit ribosomal RNA", at positions 524 to 776 of the family's 1533-position model. The record is from RNAcentral.